GGAGAGGUGGCCGAGUGGUUGAAGGCGCACGCUUGGAAAGCGUGUGAACGCUCACAAGGUGUUCCGCGGGUUCGAAUCCCGCCCUCUCCGCCA
Molecule: transfer RNA, 93 nt
Filed under: Candidatus Hydrogenedentota bacterium
Lineage: Bacteria; Pseudomonadati; Candidatus Hydrogenedentota
Description: tRNA-Ser
Rfam family: tRNA
About the family: Transfer RNA (tRNA) molecules are approximately 80 nucleotides in length. Their secondary structure includes four short double-helical elements and three loops (D, anti-codon, and T loops). Further hydrogen bonds mediate the characteristic L-shaped molecular structure. tRNAs have two regions of fundamental functional importance: the anti-codon, which is responsible for specific mRNA codon recognition, and the 3' end, to which the tRNAs corresponding amino acid is attached (by aminoacyl-tRNA synthetases). tRNAs cope with the degeneracy of the genetic code in two manners: having more than one tRNA (with a specific anti-codon) for a particular amino acid; and 'wobble' base-pairing, i.e. permitting non-standard base-pairing at the 3rd anti-codon position.
Source: RNAcentral